AGCGAACGCUGGCGGAAUGCUUAACACAUGCAAGUCGCACGGGGGCUUCGGCCUUAGUGGCGGACGGGUGAGUAACGCGUAGGAAUGUGUCCGAGGGUGGGGGAUAACGUUGGGAAACUGACGCUAAUACCGCAUAUCCCCUGAGGGGGAAAGCAGAGAUGCGCCCACGGAGCAGCCUGCGUCCGAUUAGCUAGUUGGUUAGGUAAAGGCUGACCAAGGCGACGAUCCGUAGCGGGUCUGAGAGGAUGAUCCGCCACACUGGGACUGAGACACGGCCCAGACUCCUACGGGAGGCAGCAGUGGGGAAUAUUGGGCAAUGGACGCAAGUCUGAUCCAGCCAUUCCGCGUGCAGGAUGAAGGCCCUCGGGUUGUAAACUGCUUUUGUACGGAACGAAAAGGUUUCU
Molecule: ribosomal RNA, 404 nt
Filed under: uncultured bacterium
Lineage: Bacteria
Description: bacterial SSU rRNA
Rfam family: Bacterial small subunit ribosomal RNA
Source: RNAcentral